AAAAUAUUUAACAAAUAAACUCAAGUUUUAUGAUUUCUUUUUAAAGUAACACAAUAAAAUAAUAAUAACAAGCAUAUAUACAGGGGGUACAGGUUAGUAAUGAGACUAUAUACAGGGGGUACAGGUUAGUAAUGAGACUAUAUACAGGGGGUACAGGUUAGUAAUGAGACUAUAUACAGGGGGUACAGGUUAGUAAUGAGACUAUAUACAGGGGGUACAGGUUAGUAAUGAGACUAUAUACAGGGGGUACAGGUUAGUAAUGAGACUAUAUACAGGGGGUACAGGUUAGUAAUGAGACUAUAUACAGGGGUACAGGUUAGUAAUGAGACUAUAUACAGGGGGUACAG
Oncorhynchus tshawytscha (Chinook salmon) is the source of this 347-nucleotide long non-coding RNA. Lineage: Eukaryota; Metazoa; Chordata; Actinopteri; Salmoniformes; Salmonidae. The record is from Ensembl.